RNAcentral lists this ribosomal RNA (253 nucleotides) under uncultured bacterium. Its description in RNAcentral is "partial 16S ribosomal RNA". It matches the Rfam family "Bacterial small subunit ribosomal RNA", at positions 524 to 776 of the family's 1533-position model. The record is from RNAcentral.
UACAGAGGUCCCAAGCGUUGUUCGGAUUCACUGGGCGUAAAGGGUGCGUAGGCGGUCGGGUAAGUCUGAUGUGAAAUCUCACAGCUUAACUGUGAAACUGCAUUGGAUACUAUCCGGCUCGAGGAAUGGAGGGGAGACUGGAAUACUUGGUGUAGCAGUGAAAUGCGUAGAUAUCAGGAGGAACACCGGUGGCGAAGGCGAGUCUCUGGACAUUUCCUGACGCUGAGGCACGAAAGCCAGGGGAGCAAACGGG